UUGAAAACAGGUGCUGCACGGCUGUCGUCAGCUCGUGUCGUGAGAUGUUGGGUUAAGUCCCGCAACGAGCGCAACCCUCGUCCUUAGUUGCUAGCAGUUCGGCUGAGCACUCUAAGGAGACUGCCUUCGUAAGGAGGAGGAAGGUGAGGAUGACGUCAAGUCAUCAUGGCCCUUACGCCUAGGGCUACACACGUGCUACAAUGGGGUGUACAAAGAGAAGCAAUACUGUGAAGUGGAGCCAAUCUCUAAAACAUCUCUCAGUUCGGAUUGUAGUCUGCAACUCGACUACAUGAAGCUGGAAUCGCUAGUAAUCGCAAAUCAGCCAUGUUGCGGUGAAUACGUUCCCGGGUCUUGUACUCACCGCCCGUCACACCAUGGGAGUUGUAUUCGCCUUAAGUCGGAAUACUAAACUAGUUACCGCCCACGGCGGAUGCAGCGACUGGGGUGAAGUCGUAACAAGGUAACCGUAGGUGAACCUGCGGUUGGAUCACCUCCUUUC
RNAcentral lists this ribosomal RNA (499 nucleotides) under Helicobacter pullorum. RNAcentral's name for it is "bacterial SSU rRNA". It matches the Rfam family "Bacterial small subunit ribosomal RNA", at positions 1028 to 1533 of the family's 1533-position model. Lineage: Bacteria; Pseudomonadati; Campylobacterota; Epsilonproteobacteria; Campylobacterales; Helicobacteraceae. The record is from RNAcentral.